AGCGAACGCUGGCGGCAGGCUUAACACAUGCAAGUCGAACGCAUCCUUCGGGGUGAGUGGCAGACGGGUGAGUAACACGUGGGAACGUACCCUUUGGUUCGGAAUAACUCAGGGAAACUUGAGCUAGUACCGGAUACGCCCUUUUGGGGAAAGGUUUACUGCCGAAGGAUCGGCCCGCGUCUGAUUAGCUAGUUGGUGGGGUAACGGCCUCCCAAGGCGACGAUCAGUAGCUGGUCUGAGAGGAUGAUCAGCCACACUGGGACUGAGACACGGCCCAGACUCCUACGGGAGGCAGCAGUGGGGAAUAUUGGACAAUGGGCGCAAGCCUGAUCCAGCCAUGCCGCGUGAGUGAUGAAGGCCUUAGGGUUGUAAAGCUCUUUUGUCCGGGACGAUAAUGACGGUACCGGAAGAAUAAGCCCCGGCUAACUUCGUGCCAGCAGCCGCAGUAA
This 449-nucleotide ribosomal RNA is filed under the name uncultured bacterium. RNAcentral describes it as "partial 16S ribosomal RNA". It matches the Rfam family "Bacterial small subunit ribosomal RNA", at positions 29 to 523 of the family's 1533-position model. The record is from RNAcentral.